GGCCUAGGGGGGCAGCAGUAGGGAAUCUUCCACAAUGGGCGCAAGCCUGAUGGAGCAACACCGCGUGAGUGAAGAAGGGUUUCGGCUCGUAAAGCCCUUUUGUUAGAGAAGAAAGUGCGUGAGAGUAACUGUUCACGUUUCGACGGUAUCUAACCAGAAAGCUACGGCUAAAUACGUGCCAGCAGCCGCGGUAAUACGUAGGUGGCAAGCGUUAUCCGGAUUUAUUGGGCGUAAAGGG
Molecule: ribosomal RNA, 238 nt
Filed under: uncultured bacterium
Lineage: Bacteria
Description: partial 16S ribosomal RNA
Rfam family: Bacterial small subunit ribosomal RNA
Source: RNAcentral